CAGACGCUUAACCCACCGAGCCACGCAGGUGCCCCAUAUCGGUCUUAUUUCCAUUUAGUUUUGUUGUUGUGAUAUAAUACACUCUGUAUGAUUUCAACACUUUUCAAGUUCUUGAAACUUGUGUUUAGAAUUUUGUGACCUGCAUAGCAAAGAGAGGGCAAGAAUGAGAAAAAAUGAAAUGAUGUCUGUGGAAUGCGGUUGUGUUAUAAAUAAUCAUGUGUGUUGUCUGAUGGCAAUUGGGAUUUCUCUAAUGUCCAGAAGAGAUUUUGAAAGAUUUUACAGAGAGAAUCACAUGAUCAAAUCCACAGCGACUUUUCAGUUAAGUAAAAAUUAAAAUACAAAUAAAAAGAAAACUUGUAGUGAGUGUUAAAUCUGAGGUCAAGACUGUUUUAAAAAUUCGUAACGGCCAUCAUUGUUAAGUUGUUGAUAAAAAUGAUGUACGAUAGCCUUUAGAUUUAAAAGAGAAACAAAGCAAAACAAAAUCUCCAGAUUACUUAAACAAAUAAGGGGUAAAGUUAUCCACAAAUUUUUUUUUGAAAUCUAAUAUCUAAAAUAAGCCCAAGACUUUUGAUGAAAAAACUUAUGAUCAUAGUGACAGGUGCAAUAAAUUAAAAAUAAAAUUAUAUGUAUUUGACUAAGAGCUUCAUGUUCUGGCAGAAUACUAGAAAUCACACCCCCUCCCCCAAGACACCAUAAGCCAACCUCUGGAGCCUGUGAACAUGAGGAGAUAUCAUGCUUGCUACCCAGAGCUGGAAUAUUUUUCACGUGUCUGGUUGGGAAAGUCUGAGGCUGUCCCCUGCAGAAUUCCAGUUGAAUGUGGGCAUGAAACGGAAUUGAAUGCUAAUGAUUUCCGGAUGCACAGGAGACUUAUCUCUGAUCUUCACUGUGGGAAACUGGUGAAGCUCCUGGAGAUAAAAGUCUUGAAUGUGUGUGUCCCCCCACCUCCCUGCCACUUCCCACCAUGACUGUGUCUUGCUGGAGCUGUUACAUCUCAGGCUUGUCUGUUCUGAGCCUUCAGCAACUCAUCACUUACAUUUCAGGCUUUCCCAACCAAGCCCUGUUUCUCUUGGACGUCUCUGCUCAUGGACUUCUGUUUCGGUAAAUUGUGAUUCUCUGCAUCUGCCCGUGUCUCUAAAAUUUUAGGGGCUGUGGUUUGUCCCGUGACCUCACUUCUCUGACAGAUCUAGGAGGAGCUGUUGAUUUUUCACUUUGCUCAACUUUUUAUUUGUUAGGACGGAGUGAUGGCUUCCAAGCUGCUUACACGGGACACUGGGUUUCAUUACUAUUUAUUUUAUAUUUUUUGUUGCUUCUACUCUCCUACUUCUCAUUUCUUUCCUUCUACUUUGCAUUUAAAUUGUUCUUUUUCCAGAUUCUUAAGGUGAAAGCUUAGGUCACUGAUUUGAGUUUUUUUGUUUUUUGUUUUUAAUCUUUCCUAAUAUAAUCAUGCAAAGCUAUAUGUUUCUUGAAUGGGCUGCUUUACCUGCAGCUCGUAUUUAAUAUGUAGCUUUAAAUUCAUCACUUAGUAAACUAUUUUUAAUGUUUCUUGUCAUUUCUUCUUUGAGCCACAUGUUAUUUGGAAUUGUGUU
Felis catus (domestic cat) is the source of this 1586-nucleotide long non-coding RNA. RefSeq lists it as uncharacterized. The transcript has 3 exons. NCBI's taxonomy places the organism in Eukaryota, Metazoa, Chordata, Mammalia, Carnivora, Felidae. The record is from RefSeq and is a predicted model, not a curated record.